GGUUUCGUGGUCUAGAGGCAUGAUUCUCGCUUAGGGUGCGAGAGGUCCCGGGUUCAAUUCCCGGCGAAGCCC
RNAcentral lists this transfer RNA (72 nucleotides) under Coemansia sp. BCRC 34962. RNAcentral's name for it is "tRNA-Pro". It matches the Rfam family "tRNA". From Rfam's summary of the family: Transfer RNA (tRNA) molecules are approximately 80 nucleotides in length. Their secondary structure includes four short double-helical elements and three loops (D, anti-codon, and T loops). The record is from RNAcentral. Lineage: Eukaryota; Fungi; Kickxellomycota; Kickxellomycetes; Kickxellales; Kickxellaceae.